Molecule: unclassified non-coding RNA, 240 nt
Filed under: soil metagenome
Description: partial contains 5.8S ribosomal RNA, internal transcribed spacer 2, and large subunit ribosomal RNA
Source: RNAcentral
AACAAGGCGUACCUGCGGACCUGCGGAGGGAUCAUUACAGAGUUCGUGCCCUCGCGGGUAGAUCUCCCACCCUUGUGUAUUCCUUACAUUUUGUUGCUUUGGCAGGCCGUUGGUUCGCCAACCACCGGCUCUACGGGCUGGUGCGUGCCUGCCAGAGGACCCCCCAAACUCGGUUUGUUAGUGUCGUCUGAGUAACCAUAACAAUCGUUAAAACUUUUAACAACGGAUCUCAGAUCGGAA